Molecule: transfer RNA, 72 nt
Filed under: Chlorobiota bacterium
Lineage: Bacteria; Pseudomonadati; Chlorobiota
Description: tRNA-Gly
Rfam family: tRNA
About the family: Transfer RNA (tRNA) molecules are approximately 80 nucleotides in length. Their secondary structure includes four short double-helical elements and three loops (D, anti-codon, and T loops).
Source: RNAcentral
GCGGGAGUAGCUCAGUGGUAGAGCGCCACCUUGCCAAGGUGGAGGUCGCGGGUUCGAUCCCCGUCUCCCGCU